GACGAACGCUGGCGGCGCGCCUAACACAUGCAAGUCGAACGGAGCUGCGAGAAGCUUGCUUUUCUUAGCUUAGUGGCGAACGGGUGAGUAACGCGUGAGUAACCUGCCCUGGAGUGGGGGACAACAGUUGGAAACGACUGCUAAUACCGCAUAAGCCCACGAUCCGGCAUCGGCUUGAGGGAAAAGGAGUUAUUCGCUUCAGGAUGGACUCGCGUCCACUUAGCUAGUUGGUGAGGAAACGGCCCACCAAGGCGACGAUUGGUAGCCGGACUGAGAGGUUGAGCGGCCACAUUGGGACUGAGACACGGCCCAGACUCCUACGGGAGGCAGCAGUGGGUGAUAUUGCACAAUGGGGGAAACCCUGAUGCAGCGACGCCGCGUGGAGGAAGAAGGUUUUCAGAUUGUAAACUCCUGUCGUCAGGGACGAUAAUGACGGUACCUAACAAGAAAGCACCGGCUAACUACGUG
Molecule: ribosomal RNA, 468 nt
Filed under: uncultured bacterium
Lineage: Bacteria
Description: partial 16S ribosomal RNA
Rfam family: Bacterial small subunit ribosomal RNA
Source: RNAcentral